RNAcentral lists this unclassified non-coding RNA (214 nucleotides) under uncultured Venturiales. RNAcentral describes it as "sequence contains ITS2". Lineage: Eukaryota; Fungi; Ascomycota; Dothideomycetes. The record is from RNAcentral.
CACACUCCAAGCCUGGCUUGAUGUUGGACGGUGCGGCCUCUUUCUUUGGGGUUGCACGUCUGGAACGUGUUGGCGUCCGGUCUGUCGUGACACCGCGAGCGUAGCAAGACAUGUUUAUUCAGUCAACGUCGCUCGGUUCGGGACACCAGUCGGACGGUCGAAUUCUUUGUUGAAAAGAGAAGAGUCAAUUUUUUCUUUUCCACAAUACACAAGA